GAAAUGCGAAAAUUAAUGCGAAUUGCAGAAUUCAGUGAAUCAUCGAGUCUUUGAACGCACAUUGCGCCCGUCGGUAUUCCGGCGGGCAUGCCUGUCCGAGCGUCUUUUUCAAGUUGAAUCGAGCCCGCUUUGGGGACUCCAACCCCCAAAGUUCAGGGCGUCGGUGUUGGACCGUCCGACCCCUUGGGGCCGGAGGUCUCAGAACUCAUUCACCGGAGGUCGCUCACGAUCGCACCCGGAUUCGCCCGACGGCGCGAUUUCGAAAGGUGCGAUCAGAGUGAACCUGAAGGUCGCUGUGGGGUGCGCUCCGGCGCCCCGCUCACCAGUUCGACCUCGGAUCAGGUAGGGUUACCCGCUGAACUUAA
RNAcentral lists this unclassified non-coding RNA (365 nucleotides) under uncultured fungus. RNAcentral's name for it is "sequence contains ITS1". The stretch from base 1 to 105 matches the Rfam family "5.8S ribosomal RNA", at positions 50 to 154 of the family's 154-position model. The record is from RNAcentral. Lineage: Eukaryota; Fungi.